Molecule: long non-coding RNA, 555 nt
Organism: Cyprinus carpio (common carp)
Lineage: Eukaryota; Metazoa; Chordata; Actinopteri; Cypriniformes; Cyprinidae
Exons: 2
Source: RefSeq, a predicted model, not a curated record
CUGGAUUUGUCCCGAGUCAAGCUGCAAAAGAAGUCUUGCUGGAAAAGCCGUUGUUGAGUCGUUUCCUGGGCGGCAGGAAGCAGUAUCGCAAACGAGGCGGUAACACAGAGUGUUUCUGGAAAUACUGUGUCUGAAACAUCCAGUUAAUAACACUCAAGCACUUACAGUACAUGCGCCCGCGUGCUCUCCUGAGCUUUACGUGACAUUUUCAACGCUAGUGUACAAACUCUGUGGGCCUGAUGCACUAAAUUAGCAAAAAAUAUAUAUUUAUGUUUGAUGUUGGAAAAAUAGUGGAUAAUUUAUUUGUACAUACCUGUACAUGCUUUCAGCUUUGAUGUAAAUAAAGUAAAUAUGUUUAAAAAAGUUAUUGUGUGCUUACUACUUUAGACAAUUAAAAGGCUCAAGAUACAAAAAAAAAAAAAAAAAUACUUUGAGGAUUGUAUUUAAAAACAACAGUUUGAGUCAUCGUGGUCUUUUAUUCAUAGUUAUCAUGUGCUGUCAAAAUAUUUCCCUGAAUUUGACACAAAUUAAUUUGACACCUUUUUUUUUUUUUUU